GCUGAGAUAGUUUAUAAUAAAACGCAGCCCUGAAGAGGCUUUAAAGGAAGACCUCCUCUCAACA
This 64-nucleotide transfer RNA is filed under the name Trypanobia cryptica. RNAcentral's name for it is "tRNA-Phe". The record is from RNAcentral. Lineage: Eukaryota; Metazoa; Annelida; Polychaeta; Phyllodocida; Syllidae.